CACAAACCUUUUCUCUCAUUUUAUUGUAGUAUUUUAUGCACGCUGUUAUGCACCUGUCACCAUCAUCAAUCCUGAUAUCGUUUUUAAUGCGCAAGCCGUGGCCACAAUUUUCUUCGUGCGCUCUGCUUUAAUCACAUGUUAAUUUCAUGCACAGCAAAAAGUUGCCCAGGGUUAAAUUCACAAAUAGAAAAAUGAAAUAAAUUAACGAAGGACUAUUUUUCACAGGCUUCUACAUGUGAAAUUUAAGAAAUUAAAUUUAAGAAAUUUAAGUGAAAUUCUUCUCCACUCUUGACGUCAAAGAAUUCAGCAGUGCAGGAACAUGGCAGUCUACUCGGGACAAGAAGGAGUGGGAGAAGAGAGAAAGGAAGAAAUAAUAAUGUGAGAAAAACAGGUACAGUACUGUUUUAGCACUUUUCGCCCCGCUCUCCUCCACUUCCCUACUAUCUAAGCGCCUUUUAACUAGGGGCGCCCUAAAUCCAAGCACUUGCCGCUUUACCUGGGCUGGCGCCUUUUAGUGACGCAGCCUUCCCAUUCUCGCGGGAACUUGGGAGUGGGAGCCGGGUAGAGCGAACAAAUCUCGCAAUCUCAGUUGGCCCGGGAGUAGGAUUGGCAGCUGAGGAUCUACAGGGGCGGGGCGGGGAGCCCGAAAGAGGCGGGGCCAGGCCUCGGAGAAGGGCGGGGAGAGAGGCUGGGGGCGGGGCCGCGCGCCCAGGACCUGUUGAGCGCAGGUACAGCCGGCUAGUCGGAGCGCCCUCGGGAUUUGCGACUGCGCAUGCUCGCCGUCGGCGCCCCGCCAGUAGCCCCCCGGCGGUGACGAGCCGGCUGCGCGCGGCUGUGGCGGCGAUGUGAGUGGGCCAGGGGCGGGAUGGUGCUGACCCGGAGCGGGUCGUCUUCCUCCAGCUGGACCGCGAGCUCCUCUGUCCGCCGGACGCGGGGCGAGGUCGCGCCGGCCGAGAGGGUAGAAAAUCAUCUGGAUUAUGUAUUUCAUUUUGCAAUCUCAAAGCAGUUGGCAAACAGUAAAUUCUUCCUUACCUUAUCAACGUCAGGUAGGAAUUAUUUCUGCUUCUAUUUUAAGAAAGGAAAUACUAAGAUAAGAGUGCAGUUCCUUGCUCCAAAUGAUUUAUAGGUAAAAGUAGUAGGAUCUGUCAUGAGGACUUCCUUUAGAAGAGCCAACUAUUACGUAUGGUAAGAGGUGAUGAAUUCCUCAGCUUUUAAGGUGUUUUAAACAAUUUUUUUCACAUAUACAGAAAGAUAAGUACUAUUUCUAAGGGUUGCUCUUUAAAGCAGAUUUUAUCUUUAGGUAAAGGCAGAUUUUUUUUUUUAUUCUUAAGUAAAUAGUCCUUUAAAAAAGUCAAUACCUACAGACACUUCGUAUUAUCCUGAGUUGACCCUAUAGUCUUACUGUAUUAGUGUAAGCAUGGUGUCUAGCAGGCACAGGACUAGAUGUCAAAAGAUUUCAACUCUACGCUGACUCAUGACGUAAGUUUGGGGAAGCCACUUAACCUCUAUACCUCUACGUAUGAAAUGUGGGUAAUAAGGGUAGGCCACCCAGUAAUCAGUAGCAAUGCCCUAAUCAUUUCAACAUGCUUAGAGCCACAGACAAAAAAAAGCUUUAUACAUACCAAAUUUUU
RNAcentral lists this long non-coding RNA (1631 nucleotides) under Chinchilla lanigera (long-tailed chinchilla). RNAcentral's name for it is "lncRNA (ENSCLAG00000022625.1)". Lineage: Eukaryota; Metazoa; Chordata; Mammalia; Rodentia; Chinchillidae. The record is from RNAcentral.